Molecule: transfer RNA, 87 nt
Filed under: Caudoviricetes sp.
Lineage: Duplodnaviria; Heunggongvirae; Uroviricota; Caudoviricetes
Description: tRNA-Leu
Rfam family: tRNA
About the family: Transfer RNA (tRNA) molecules are approximately 80 nucleotides in length. Their secondary structure includes four short double-helical elements and three loops (D, anti-codon, and T loops).
Source: RNAcentral
GCUGCUAUGGUGGAAUAGGCAGACACGCCAGCUUGAGGUGCUGGUGGGAGAAAUCCCGUAUGGGUUCGAGUCCCAUUAGCAGUACCA